This 324-nucleotide ribosomal RNA is filed under the name uncultured eukaryote. RNAcentral's name for it is "partial 18S ribosomal RNA". It matches the Rfam family "Eukaryotic small subunit ribosomal RNA", at positions 1470 to 1796 of the family's 1831-position model. The record is from RNAcentral.
CCCUUAGAUGUCCUGGGCCGCACGCGCGUUACACUGAUGCAUUCAACGAGCUUAUAACCUUGGCCGAGAGGCCUGGGCAAUCUUGUUAACGUGCAUCGUGAUAGGGAUAGAUUAUUGAAAUUAUUAAUCUUGAACGAGGAAUUCCUAGUAAACGCAGAUCAUCAAUCUGCAUUGAUUACGUCCCUGCCCUUUGUACACACCGCCCGUCGCACCUACCGAUUGGAUGGUCCGGUGAAGCCUCGGGAUUGUGGCCAGUGCCUUUUUGGUUUUGGUUGCGAGAACUUGUCUAAACCUUAUCAUCUAGAGGAAGGUGAAGUCGUAACA